UCUAAAAUAAAGAAUUAUGCUUUAUUUCCAUAUGUAUGUAUUUUUACAGCUUUUAUUCAGGGACACGAUUUGUGAUGCCAUGGUUAUGUGUCUGAUUACUAAAUAUCAGGACAGGCCUGCGUGGAGUUCUUAUGGAUUUGCAAAAUAAAUGUUUUAUAUACAUACGUACCCACCAACCAUGUUGGGUUUUAUAUAUGAUAAAAUCUGCAGUUACAUUUCUCGUUCU
RNAcentral lists this long non-coding RNA (226 nucleotides) under Actinidia chinensis (golden kiwifruit). RNAcentral describes it as "long non-coding RNA (ACHI_LNC008268)". The record is from RNAcentral. Lineage: Eukaryota; Viridiplantae; Streptophyta; Magnoliopsida; Ericales; Actinidiaceae.